CAAUUGCGGUAAUGGCUCACUCCAUCCAAUUCAGGAGUUUUCCCCUCUGUUAAAUGUUGUCACUAGAUGGCGCCCUUGUGUACUUAUUUUACUGUUCUGUCAAAGGUUGCACUGUACACACAGAUGUGACAUCAUUACGCUGUAUGUACGCCUUGUUAUGUUAUCGGAGGAGCAGACAGGGCACCUGCAGUUGUGCUUUAUGCUUGAGUGUUAAAAAUGGGACCUCCCGUACUGGCCUCAAUAAAUAAGCCAAGGCCGACCCUAACCCUAACCCAAACCCUAAUCCAAACCCUAACACUUACCCUAACCCUAACCUGACAGACGGUGACAUUUCACAACCAUAAGGAAUAACCAAUCGGAGCCCAGCACUUCUAGCCAAUCAGAGGCGAGGGAAGGGCGGGACCUUCCUCUACCAACCUACAAAAAUAAACAAAUAAAUAAAAUAAAAUAAAUCGCCAUCCGGGGAUUCUGUUUCAGCCGAGCUUCAUCACGGCGACUGUCGGCGACUUUCCCGCCGAAUGCGCACAAUGCUACUGCGCAAGCGUUGGAGUGCCUACUACAGUACUGCACAGUGUUGAUUUCAGGAAAUGGAGGAAAAACGCGGAAUUACCGAGAGCUUUUCGGCUUCAAAUCCGUAGGCUCUACUGGCAGAAGGCGGACCCAAGUUGUCCUUACAGUCUGUGCUAAAGACUGAAGAUGAGACAGGUAAGAGAGUCAUGAUUGAAGUUAGUGUUUACAUGUCAUAAUGAUCGGUAUAAACCAACCCUCUCCAUUGGAAUACAAUUUCUGUCUGAUUGAGCCGAAUUUGAUCAGAAUCCUCCGAUCGACAUGUUUACAUGGCUCAUUUUCAUUCCGAUCGGGCAUUAUUCCGAUUAUUUGUUCCCAUUUAAACGCAGCUAAUGUUUCAGUGCGGUAUAGGCUGAAGUUGGUGUUAUGUUGGAUGAUUGAAAGUCCCCCUAAAUCACGCACUCAAAAUAAAAAGUUGCACAGGUUUUUUUCUUUAGUGGACUGUGCCACAUUCAGGCCCCACAAAUACUUUGCAUGAGUAGGUCAUUUGCAGAAACAAGCACAGCUGAUUUUCACUGUCCUUGAAUCCCUGGGUUUGAGCUUCUAUAACAAAGGUGGGACUGGUCAGUGAGAGCUGAAGGUGAGAAAAGUGUGUCAGGCAGGGUUUAGGUGACUCUGGGGGGACUUUGUCGCUCUUGUGUGUUGCUAGUUGGGGGAACCGAGGUGUGUGUGGGUCCAUAUGUUGUAUUUAUAGCACUUUUAUAGAUGAAAGACUGAGACAAGGAGAGUAAACAAGGGGGCGGUCGUGAUGUAUCAGCAGAAAAGCAAGAAGGGUGACACUGUUGUGACUUUUCCCUGCAAUAAACAAAGAGUGGGGAGUGUUUGAUGUAUGUGAGGUGUGUGUGAGAGCCAGAGAAGUGGAGGGAGGAGGAGGAGGAGGCCAUAAAAACAUGGAACAAUGGAGGCAUUAUUUCACUUCUGUUCCAUUGCUGUGUUUACAGUCUGCUCCCCCCCUCUGCCACUUUCUCUGGGGGCAGCUGUUGGCAACACAGAUAACGCUGGCUUAUCAGCCCUGCAGCCGAGUCGGACAGGACACAUUGUAUCACCAAACUGGACAUAGUUUCGGCCCAGGCUGUGCAUUCUUCCACACCCUGGAUGUUUUACUGUGCGGCAAACGUCACGUGUCAGCAGUCUGUCACUGGGGUCAAGGUGCUCAUAGAUUAGUUACAGCAGACUCAGUUAUCACAUAACUCUUCCAGCUCCCAAGCAAUUGCUAUUUUCUGCCUCUUUAGUCACACACUCUCAAGUGGUCACGCCUGUUGGAGAUACUCAAGGGUUCUUUUAUUUUCACACACUUGUCAUCAUUUCUGUGGCAUCCUAAAUUCUGCAGGGAUGUACAAAUAGGGGCAUUGUCUGUGACGUGUUUGUUGUAUGAGUAAUCCUGACCAGUCAUGUAUAAGCAGGCUUUGGUUUAAUGUAGAUCAACAGUUUGUGUGGACAGCAGCAUAGACAGAACCACUGGCUGUAUAUAGAUAUGGGUAACAUGCCUCUGUUAUCACCCACUGAAAGAAAACUAAGGCCAAAAUAAAACACGUACUUAACUGACAGCAGAAAAGAUCUUGUCUUGAUUUGAAGCAGACACUCAAGUUUCUGUGAAGUUCAUUUUCUGUCUCUGUUCCCUCGUCAGUUUUACUGGUAAUUAAAACAGUUUCUUUGGAGCCAGUGUGGUGAUUGCCCCUACAGAGUCAUAUCUGUUUUCAGUAGUUUCUGGUGGUGACUUGUACCUAUGCAGUGAUUUCCACUACAGAGUCGUGUCUGUUUUCAACAGUUUUUGAAAGUUAUUUGAUGCAAGAGUCAUGUAUGUCUUCAAAGGUUUGGUAGAUGAUUCAAGCCCCUGUGGCGACUUUCACUACAGAGUCAUGUCUGUUGCAGCUGUUGUUUUUGGAGAGGAUUUCGGGUAGGCAGGAAUCCGUUAAAGAAGCAUCUUUUUUUGUGGUGUAUGUACAAAAAAGCUUUCAAUAUCAGUCAAUAGCUAUUAGUUAUUGAUGACAUUUGGGAAUAUCACGAUAUUGCUGUGUUCUCUUCUGCCUGUGUAGUCAACUCCGCUCUUUCUGACUGUAAACAAAGCCAUUCUCUGCCUCCCCCAACCUGAUUGGCUGUGAGGCAGACCCUGCUCCCUCGUGUGCAAGUUAACGUGCAAGUUAGCGUGCAACAAUAUCGGACAGUAGAAACCAACCAGAAAGUACGGAAAAUUGUCUGAAUCCUCCUCUGG
Molecule: long non-coding RNA, 2779 nt
Filed under: Xyrichtys novacula (pearly razorfish)
Lineage: Eukaryota; Metazoa; Chordata; Actinopteri; Labriformes; Labridae
Source: RNAcentral